This is a small nuclear RNA of Bubalus bubalis (water buffalo), 107 nucleotides long. The record is from RefSeq and is a predicted model, not a curated record. NCBI's taxonomy places the organism in Eukaryota, Metazoa, Chordata, Mammalia, Artiodactyla, Bovidae.
GUGCUUUCUUCAGUAGCACACAUACUAAAAUUGGAAUGAUAUAGAGAAGACUAGCAUGGCCCCUGCAUAAGGAUGACUUGCAAAUUUGUGAAGCGUUCUGUAUUUUU